AACGAACGCUGGUGGCAUGCCUAAUACAUGCAAGUCGAACGAGACCUUCGGGUCUAGUGGCGCACGGGUGCGUAACGCGUGGGAAUCUGCCCUUCGGUUCGGAAUAACAGUUAGAAAUGACUGCUAAUACCGGAUAAUGACGUAAGUCCAAAGAUUUAUCGCCGAAGGAUGAGCCCGCGUAGGAUUAGCUUGUUGGUGAGGUAAAGGCUCACCAAGGCGACGAUCCUUAGCUGGUCUGAGAGGAUGAUCAGCCACACUGGGACUGAGACACGGCCCAGACUCCUACGGGAGGCAGCAGUAGGGAAUAUUGGAUAAUGGGCGAAAGCCUGAUCCAGCAAUGCCGCGUGAGUGAUGAAGGCCUUAGGGUUGUAAAGCUCUUUUACCCGGGAUGAUAAUGACAGUACCGGGAGAAUAAGCUCCGGCUAACUCCGUGCCAGCCGCCGCGGUAA
This 449-nucleotide ribosomal RNA is filed under the name uncultured bacterium. RNAcentral's name for it is "partial 16S ribosomal RNA". It matches the Rfam family "Bacterial small subunit ribosomal RNA", at positions 29 to 523 of the family's 1533-position model. The record is from RNAcentral.